Long non-coding RNA from Neofelis nebulosa (Clouded leopard), 2965 nucleotides. RefSeq lists it as uncharacterized. The transcript is spliced from 2 exons. Lineage: Eukaryota; Metazoa; Chordata; Mammalia; Carnivora; Felidae. The record is from RefSeq and is a predicted model, not a curated record.
UUUCCUCAAGUUCUACACCCAAACCACAUUGAGACUAAGAGUGAGGCACUUCUCACUUUGAAAUUGUUGGCCCAAAGAAGGCACCCAAAAUCAAUACAUAUGCCUCUGAUCACAGGAUUCUGGGCUGCCUACAACCACAGAAGUACUACAGAGCAAAAGUAUUCAACACCAGUAUGCUGCAGGCCACAGUGAUCUGAGGACUAAUUCCAUUCACAUGUGCCUAGGAGAUUUGUUUAGGGGGAAGCAAUCCAAAGGCCAACUGCAGAGUUCAUUUUAAUAGCACUGAGGUUUGUGUGCAUGUCUAAUCAUGGGAUCAGCAAAUUACAUGCCCUGUGCACAGACCAUACAACCUCUGUGGGAUUGUGGAACAACUGAGUGCAUGUGGGAGAAACACUAAGAAUGGAAAAUUCACCGAGCAAGAGGCCAAAUUGCGAAGCUGUUGAAUGGGGCAGAAGAGCAGCAGGGAUGCCAAAAGAACACAACAAAACAAAAAACAAACAAACGAAAAAAAAAACACGAAGAAAGAAAUGCAUUCAAGGAUAAGGAAACACCUGACAACCCAGGAAUUCUGAUAAUGCACUAACAGAAGCAGACCUGCAGCACUAUGUAUGACUGAAAGAUUUCAGAACAGCUUCCCCAGAACUGGGAUGUUUUUCCAAGUGAAUAGACCUGGCAUCAGCUUAGAGGAGAAUCAGACACAAGUAGCCACUUAGAAUUCAUUUUAGAGAUAUUGGAUAUUGGAAAGAAUGCUGGCUGAGCACAGGCCUGCAGAGUCCUGGGUCUGAGGGUGUGCAUCCCCUCCAAAGGCAAGCUCUCCAGAGAGCUCUGUUUCUGGUAAAAACCAAAAGCCUAAUAUUUAUGCAUACUCUGCUGGAUAUUCCUCACUGCAACAGUCAUGCCUUAAAAGGUUAAAGCCCAGAGCUCUGCUGCUUUAUAAAAGGCCAGAGAAAACAACCUGACUUAUCAUGAAGUUCAAAUAUAUUUGGACAGGUUAUUUAGGCUUUGUAUAUCAUACAGUCUCCACCACAACUUGUGCUGAAGCUACUCAACUAUGCUAUUGUAGGGCAAAAGCAAUCAUAGAUAACGUAAACAAAUGAGUGUGGUUCUGUUCCAAUAAAACUUUACUUACAAAAAUAGGCAGAGAACCAAACUUCACGAUUGGACAUAGUCGGCCAAUCCCUGCGUUACAGAGUACAGGGCUUUGCUCAAUAAGAAGCAGAAGGUUUCUACUGAGGCCUCUUAAUUGAUGCUUUGUAAAUUUUUCAGAUUCACAGGGCUCUUUCCAUCAGUUUGGUAUGCCUUCGACUGCAGGUAACAGGUAACCUCCACUGACUUAUACAAAUAGCAAGUUCUUAAUUCUCCUGUAACAAGGAGCGCAGGGUUAGGUCACUGCUGCCCUCCCCACUGCUUUCUUGGACACAGGCUCUUUCCUCCACCUUUUUCAACCUGUUGGCUAGUUGAAAAACCAAAAGACAGCUGAUGCUCCAUUGGGCAUCACAUUUAAAUUUCAGAAGGAAGAAAAUCAAAGGAUGAAAGGAUGGGCAAACUAUAAUUUUUUUCUUUUUAUCAGAAAAGCAAAAUGUUCCCAAGAACACCCCUAAGUCCAGUUGAUAAAAUAUUUCUAUUUGUAUCACAUUGGCUAGAACUAUGGCAUAUGGGUGGCCACCCCUUGUUGAAAGAAAAGGUGAGGAAUUUAGUAUUUAUUUUCCCAGCCUCUAGAGUACAGAAGUGAGAGGGAAAUUGUUGGGGAUGGGAAUUGAGACACUAAACUAUGCUCCUCUCUGGGUGUAGGACACUGUGUUGGUGAUAAGAAAGGCAACCUAAGGCAGGUGGUCAAGCAUAUGCCUACCAGGAAGGGAGCUGUAUAAGAGUGAUCCCUGAUGACAAGAUAUUGUAGGUUGCCUCUGUUAGAGAAAACCUUGAUAACAAGUGAACUGAUGCUUUUAAUGGCCUUUACUGGUGUUUUAGUCACCAACAAUGACAAGGUAUCUAGUAAUCAAUGUUCCUAUUGUCACUAUUUGUGACUUUCCUCUGUGCUUGACCCAAGUAUAAAAGAGGGAUUUUGCUGUGACUCUAUACAAAGACAGUUAACAUAGGUAAUCCUCUCUGCCAUCACGAAAAGUAUUUUACUAUAGAAAGGCAAAGGGAAGACAUAACAUAUUACACCAUAUACAGCUGAGAUUCAGGAGGAGGAGGGACUUUUGGUGACUGAAAUGCAGUCAUCCCAACACUGACAUAAUAUCAAGGUGAACUUACUGAUUACAUUUUUUGACAGGAAGCAGCCCUUCCAUUUUAAUGGCCACAAGUGGUUAGCUCUACAGUUUACAGUUUUGUCUUGUAAAUGGUAUGAUGCAUGGCUUUGAACCAUGAUCUCAUAGUUUAAAUCAUUUUAAUUUCCAGGAAUUACUUUUCUGUGAACACUCUACAUAGUUAAGGUUCAGAGGCAACCUUCAAAAUAAUGGAAUUGUUCUUUUGAGAAUUUUGCUCUGUGGGGGAAAAAAAGAGUUAAAUUAAGCAUAAGGCAAUUUUCUGGAAGAGUGACAAGAGAAGAAAUAUCCAACCAUACAACCAUGAUACACUCACAUGAAAUGCCACCAUAUCUGAGUCGCAUUUUUAUUUCCAAUGCAAUUAAAAUAUACCUGUGAUCAUAUGUUUUGCAAUUUAAUUAUAAAAUAUAAAUAAUCACAACUCUUUAAAGCCUGUUUGAAAUAAUGCUCUUUACUUUCAAAGCAAGUUUAUUACUAUCAUCUUACAUGAUCUUCAUUGGCAGGUAUGUGAAGUAGAUAGGGCUUGCCUGUUUAUGUCAAAGGAGAAUCUUGUAUAGAGAAGGAAAAUGACUUGCCUGAGAGCUCAGAGAUUCACACUGUGCCCUCAGUCCUCAACCAAUGAAUUAUCUGUUAUCUACUUGCAAAUGCAGAAAAUUGGUUCAUCUUAUUUUUAAGAUUACACUGUGUCUCCAUGCCAA